UACGGAGGAUGCGAGCGUUAUCCGGAUUUAUUGGGUUUAAAGGGUGCGUAGGCGGUCUUUUAAGUCAGCGGUAAAAAUUCGGGGCUCAACCCCGUCCGGCCGUUGAAACUGGGGGCCUUGAGUGGGCGAGAAGAAGGCGGAAUGCGUGGUGUAGCGGUGAAAUGCAUAGAUAUCACGCAGAACCCCGAUUGCGAAGGCAGCCUUCCGGCGCCCUACUGACGCUGAGGCACGAAAGUGCGGGGAUCGAACAGG
Molecule: ribosomal RNA, 252 nt
Filed under: uncultured bacterium
Lineage: Bacteria
Description: partial 16S ribosomal RNA
Rfam family: Bacterial small subunit ribosomal RNA
Source: RNAcentral